UACGGGGGGGGGCAAGCGUUGUUCGGAAUUACUGGGCGUAAAGGGCUCGUAGGCGGCCAACUAAGUCGGAUGUGAAAUCCCCAGGCUUAACCUGGGAACUGCAUCCGAUACUGGAUGGCUUGAAUCCGGGAGAGGGAUGCGGAAUUCCAGGUGUAGCGGUGAAAUGCGUAGAUAUCUGGAGGAACACCGGUGGCGAAGGCGGCAUCCUGGACCGAGAUUGACGCUGAUGCGCGAAAGCCAGGGGAGCAAACGGG
Molecule: ribosomal RNA, 254 nt
Filed under: uncultured bacterium
Lineage: Bacteria
Description: partial 16S ribosomal RNA
Rfam family: Bacterial small subunit ribosomal RNA
Source: RNAcentral